UCAAUUAUGAGCCUCUGGGACCACCAGCCGACAUGUGGAGUGUUGGAGUGAUCACCUACAUCCUGCUCAGUGGCUACUCGCCGUUCCAGGGAGAGAGUGAGAGCGAGACCCUGUCCAACAUUGUGC
This is a long non-coding RNA of Carcharodon carcharias (great white shark), 126 nucleotides long. RefSeq lists it as uncharacterized. The record is from RefSeq and is a predicted model, not a curated record. NCBI's taxonomy places the organism in Eukaryota, Metazoa, Chordata, Chondrichthyes, Lamniformes, Lamnidae. The transcript is spliced from 3 exons.